Molecule: ribosomal RNA, 465 nt
Filed under: uncultured bacterium
Lineage: Bacteria
Description: partial 16S ribosomal RNA
Rfam family: Bacterial small subunit ribosomal RNA
Source: RNAcentral
GAUGAACGCUGGCGACGUGCCUAACACAUGCAAGUCGAGCGGAGAAUUGUUGCUUGCAACAAUUCUUAGCGGCGGACGGGUGAGUAACACGUGGGUAACCUGCCCUAAACAAAGGGAUAACAAUGAGAAAUCAUUGCUAAUACCGUAUAAGCUUACACUAUCGCAUGAUAGAGUAAGAAAAGAUUUAUCGGUUUAGGAGGGGCCCGCGUCUGAUUAGCUAGUUGGAGAGGUAACGGCUCACCAAGGCGACGAUCAGUAGCCGACCUGAGAGGGUGAUCGGCCACAUUGGGACUGAGACACGGCCCAAACUCCUACGGGAGGCAGCAGUGGGGAAUAUUGCACAAUGGAGGAAACUCUGAUGCAGCAACGCCGCGUGAAGGAAGAAGGUUUUCGGAUCGUAAACUUCUAUCUACAGGGAAGAAAAAAAUGACGGUACCUGAGGAAGAAGCCCCGGCUAACUACGUG